RNAcentral lists this ribosomal RNA (465 nucleotides) under Vreelandella stevensii. RNAcentral's name for it is "partial 16S ribosomal RNA". It matches the Rfam family "Bacterial small subunit ribosomal RNA", at positions 338 to 795 of the family's 1533-position model. The record is from RNAcentral. Lineage: Bacteria; Pseudomonadati; Pseudomonadota; Gammaproteobacteria; Oceanospirillales; Halomonadaceae.
CCUACGGGCGGCAGCAGUGGGGAAUAUUGGACAAUGGGCGAAAGCCUGAUCCAGCCAUGCCGCGUGUGUGAAGAAGGCCUUCGGGUUGUAAAGCACUUUCAGUGGGGAAGAAAGCCUUGGGGCUAAUACCCUCGAGGAAGGACAUCACCCGCAGAAGAAGCACCGGCUAACUCCGUGCCAGCAGCCGCGGUAAUACGGAGGGUGCGAGCGUUAAUCGGAAUUACUGGGCGUAAAGCGCGCGUAGGCGGUCUGAUAAGCCGGUUGUGAAAGCCCCGGGCUCAACCUGGGAACGGCAUCCGGAACUGUCAGGCUAGAGUGCAGGAGAGGAAGGUAGAAUUCCCGGUGUAGCGGUGAAAUGCGUAGAGAUCGGGAGGAAUACCAGUGGCGAAGGCGGCCUUCUGGACUGACACUGACGCUGAGGUGCGAAAGCGUGGGUAGCAAACAGGAUUAGAUACCCUAGUAGUC